Molecule: ribosomal RNA, 422 nt
Filed under: uncultured bacterium
Lineage: Bacteria
Description: bacterial SSU rRNA
Rfam family: Bacterial small subunit ribosomal RNA
Source: RNAcentral
GAAUAUUGGACGAUGGGGGAAACCCUGAUCCAGCCAUGCCGCGUGUGUGAAGAAGGCCUUUUGGUUGUAAAGCACUUUAAGCAGUGAAGAAGACUCCGUGGUUAAUACCCACGGACGAUGACAUUAGCUGCAGAAUAAGCACCGGCUAACUCUGUGCCAGCAGCCGCGGUAAUACAGAGGGUGCAAGCGUUAAUCGGAAUUACUGGGCGUAAAGGGAGCGUAGGUGGCUCGAUAAGUCAGAUGUGAAAUCCCCGGGCUCAACCUGGGAACUGCAUCUGAUACUGUUGAGCUAGAGUAUGUGAGAGGAAGGUAGAAUUCCAGGUGUAGCGGUAAAAUGCGUAGAGAUCUGGAGGAAUACCGAUGGCGAAGGCAGCCUUCUGGCAUAAUACUGACACUGAGGCUCGAAAGCGUGGGUAGCAAAC